Molecule: ribosomal RNA, 499 nt
Filed under: uncultured archaeon
Lineage: Archaea
Description: bacterial SSU rRNA
Rfam family: Archaeal small subunit ribosomal RNA
Source: RNAcentral
UAAAGGAAGGGGCAAGGGGGAGCACCACAAGGGGUGAAGCCUGCGGUUCAAUUGGAGUCAACGCCAGAAAUCUUACCCGGAGAGACAGCAGAAUGAAGGUCAAGCUGAAGACUUUACCAGACAAGCUGAGAGGUGGCGCAUGGCCGUCGCCAGCUCGUGCCGUGAGAUGUCCUGUUAAGUCAGGUAACGAGCGAGAUCCCUGCCACUAGUUGCUAUCAUUAUUCUCAGGAAUAGUGGGGCGAAUUAGUGGGACUGCCGCUGUUAAAACGGAGGAAGGAAGGGGCUACGGCAGGUCAGUAUGCCCCGAAACUCUGGGGCCACACGCGGGCUUGCAAUGGUAGCGACAAUGAGUUCCAAACUCGAAAGAGUGUGGCAAUCCCUAAACGCUACCACAGUUAUGACUGAGGGCUGUAACUCGCCCUCACGAAUAUGGAAUCCCUAGUAACCGCGUGUCAUUACCGCGCGGUGAAUACGUCCCUGCUCCUUGCACACACCGCCA